Molecule: transfer RNA, 71 nt
Filed under: Loxodonta africana (African savanna elephant)
Lineage: Eukaryota; Metazoa; Chordata; Mammalia; Proboscidea; Elephantidae
Rfam family: tRNA
About the family: Transfer RNA (tRNA) molecules are approximately 80 nucleotides in length. Their secondary structure includes four short double-helical elements and three loops (D, anti-codon, and T loops).
Source: Rfam by way of RNAcentral
GCAGUGGUGGUUCAAUGGUAAAAUUCUUACCUUCCACGCAGGAGAACCAGGUUCAAUUCCCAGCCAAUGUA